CAUUGAUGAAGAACGCAGCGAAAUGCGAUAAGUAAUGUGAAUUGCAGAAUUCAGUGAAUCAUCGAAUCUUUGAACGCACAUUGCGCCCCUUGGCAUUCCUUGGGGCAUGCCUGUUCGAGCGUC
Molecule: ribosomal RNA, 123 nt
Filed under: Tuber liaotongense
Lineage: Eukaryota; Fungi; Ascomycota; Pezizomycetes; Pezizales; Tuberaceae
Description: partial 5.8S ribosomal RNA
Rfam family: 5.8S ribosomal RNA
About the family: 5.8S ribosomal RNA (5.8S rRNA) is a component of the large subunit of the eukaryotic ribosome. It is transcribed by RNA polymerase I as part of the 45S precursor that also contains 18S and 28S rRNA.
Source: RNAcentral